RNAcentral lists this ribosomal RNA (458 nucleotides) under uncultured bacterium. RNAcentral describes it as "partial 16S ribosomal RNA". It matches the Rfam family "Bacterial small subunit ribosomal RNA", at positions 338 to 795 of the family's 1533-position model. The record is from RNAcentral.
CCUACGGGAGGCUGCAGUGAGGAAUAUUGGUCAAUGGGCGAGAGCCUGUACCAGCCAAGUCGCGUGAGGGAGUACUGCCCUAUGGGUUGUAAACCUCUUUUGUCGGGGAGCAAAAGCCGGACGUGUCCGGCUGUGAGAGUACCCGAAGAAAAAGCAUCGGCUAACUCCGUGCCAGCAGCCGCGGUAAUACGGAGGAUGCGAGCGUUAUCCGGAUUUAUUGGGUUUAAAGGGUGCGCAGGCGGAUUUUUAAGUCAGCGGUAAAAUCGUGGGGCUCAACCCCAUCCAGCCGUUGAAACUGGGGAUCUAGAGUGUGCGAGAGGUAUGCGGAAUGCGUGGUGUAGCGGUGAAAUGCAUAGAUAUCACGCAGAACCCCGAUUGCGAAGGCAGCAUACCGGUGCACAACUGACGCUCAGGCACGAAAGCGUGGGUAUCGAACAGGAUUAGAUACCCGUGUAGUC